UAGCCGUAAUAUCAUUGUGCCGGUUUGAGUUACCAUGCCCGUCUUAUUGCCAUGACAGUCUAGCCAUCGUGCCAGGCUGAUCGGUGUUCGUUCCGUUGUCUAGUAGUAAUGUCGUUGUGCCGGUCUGAGUUACCGUACCCGUCUUACUACCAUGUUGGGUCAAUCACCUAUUGGUCUAGCCACUGUGUCAGCCAAGCCGCCUGGUCAAACUUCUUCUCUCACUUUCACUUCGCCCUGUAACAAGGUGGAGGCCCUAUGCCCCACUUGUUUGUACUUCUAAUGUGUGUGUGUGUGUGUGUUUGCAGGAAAGGAGAAACAGGUCAAUGGUGGCGAUUCGAAACAAGCCAUAGGCCAGGGGGGCUUUCCAACGUGAUCUAAGAGGGCGCCCACGUGAGCCAGCUCGAGCGUGUCACAUACCCACGUGAGGUCUCGGGCCCAUCUCAAACCUAGAACCAUGCCACGAGGUCAACCCGACCCGAAGGGCGAGAUCGAGGCACCUAACUAACAAGAUGUCUUUCUGAAGAUUUCGGUGUCCAUGAAUUCAUGUCAUCUUUCCUUCUUCGUAGGGCAGAUUUGUCUUCACGUUUGCGCAUUAGGGUGAAGGUGUUGUUGAGGCUUUACCGGCAUCUGAAGCCUUGGCCAUUCUUCUAAUGCAGAGAAGGAGUCGCGAGCUUGUCGAAGAGUGGCCAAAAAUCUCCAUAGUCAUCGACUGGUUCUGUGAGGCCGUACGGCGAAAGCGUGCAUCUGCCUUACUUCGCGAUGGUCUGGGCUUAGUACUACUGGGUUGACCCGAUUGAGUGGCAGGAGACGGCAGUGGUUGUUUGGCACGUUAUCAAGAUCCUGUGUACAUGACGGUGUCAUAAGAGUUCGCCUUUUGGGUACACAGGUGCUUUUCCCUUGGUCUUUUUUAUUCGAGGCUUAUUCUCGGCUACUGCCCCCGCGGGACCGUGUCUUGCAUGCCGCUGUGACUAGGUUGUAGCUGGCUCUCUCCUUUAUUUGCUUGAGGGACUAAGGUAUGUCGAAAAUGACGUAUAACAGUCACCUAUGCAAACAGGUAGAAAACCCUCUCUUUCUCCCUUUAGUCCUAUUCUCUCUCUUCGUACUCUCCCCCUACAUUCCUACCCUCGAGCUAGGAUUUAAGCUUUUUUUUCUCUCUAUCCCCCUUCAUUCGUACUCUCCCACUUCCCCUAAAGAACCAUGGAGAAAGCCCUCCCUUUCCCUUCUUACUUCCCUCUCUCGCCUCCAAAUUUUAUGGCAACAUAAAGAGAGCGAGCUCGGAUUCCAGACAGCAAGAAAAAUGAAAGCGGCCAUAUUUCAAGGCCAAGCCCAAAUGCUUCCUCAGACAAAGUAAUUUCCUUCUCUACACAAAAAACCUAGCAAAACGCCAACAACUCUCUUUUAUGAAAUAUCA
Amborella trichopoda is the source of this 1411-nucleotide non-coding RNA. Lineage: Eukaryota; Viridiplantae; Streptophyta; Magnoliopsida; Amborellales; Amborellaceae. The record is from RefSeq and is a predicted model, not a curated record.